GACGUAGGGGACGAGCGUUGUCCGGAUUCAUUGGGCGUAAAGCGCGCGCAGGCGGCCGCGUAAGUCGGGUGUGAAACCCCGGGGCUCAACCCCGGGCCUGCAUCCGAUACUGCACGGCUAGAGGUAGGUAGGGGAGAUCGGAAUUCCUGGUGUAGCGGUGAAAUGCGCAGAUAUCAGGAGGAACACCGGUGGCGAAGGCGGAUCUCUGGGCCUUACCUGACGCUCAGGCGCGAAAGCUAGGGGAGCGAACAGG
Molecule: ribosomal RNA, 253 nt
Filed under: uncultured bacterium
Lineage: Bacteria
Description: partial 16S ribosomal RNA
Rfam family: Bacterial small subunit ribosomal RNA
Source: RNAcentral